AUGGCUAAGAUUAUCAACUUGGUUUUGAUGCUCUCUCUUCUCCUUGUAGCUGCUUCGGAAGCCCAAUUUCUUGGUAAAUAUAAAUUUUUUGUUUUCGUAAAAAAAAAUGUAACAUAGAUAUGUAAUAUGAUUAUUUAUGUAAUUUUUAAGGUUUAUAUUGACCUUUUUUUUCUCUUUUUUCUUUUUUUAUAUUGAAAUAAGCAAAUGGAAUUUUGAAGCCGCCGGUCACCUUGAAAUGUGAAUCAGUUUACGGUGUGAAAAGUGGAGACACCUGUUUCACGAUUGCACAGACUUUCAGCUUGCCAACUGAGUUCUUCGAUUCAAUCAAUCCCAAUCUGAAUUGCACAGCUCUCUUUGUAGGCCAAUGGGUUUGUCUUAACGGCACACUUAGUUAA
RNAcentral lists this long non-coding RNA (395 nucleotides) under Prunus dulcis (almond). RNAcentral's name for it is "sRNA ncRNA". Lineage: Eukaryota; Viridiplantae; Streptophyta; Magnoliopsida; Rosales; Rosaceae. The record is from RNAcentral.